RNAcentral lists this ribosomal RNA (490 nucleotides) under uncultured bacterium. RNAcentral's name for it is "partial 16S ribosomal RNA". It matches the Rfam family "Bacterial small subunit ribosomal RNA", at positions 30 to 507 of the family's 1533-position model. The record is from RNAcentral.
AUUGAACGCUGGCGGCAUGCUUUACACAUGCAAGUCGGACGGCAGCACAGAGAAGCUUGCUUCUUGGGUGGCGAGUGGCGAACGGGUGAGUAAUAUAUCGGAACGUACCGAGUAAUGGGGGAUAACUAAUCGAAAGAUUAGCUAAUACCGCAUAUUCUCUGAGGAGGAAAGCAGGGGACCUUCGGGCCUUUCGUUAUUCCAUCGGCCGAUAUCUGAUUAGCUAGUUGGUGGGGUAAAGGCCUACCAAGGCGACGAUCAGUAGCGGGUCUGAGAGGAUGAUCCGCCACACUGGGACUGAGACACGGCCCAGACUCCUACGGGAGGCAGCAGUGGGGAAUUUUGGACAAUGGGCGCAAGCAUGAACCAGCCAUGCCGCGUGUCUGAAGAAGGCCUUCGGGUUGUAAAGGACUUUUGUCAGGGAAGAAAAGGCUGUUGCUAAUAUCGACAGCUGAUGACGGUACCUGAAGAAUAAGCACCGGCUAACUACGUG